Molecule: ribosomal RNA, 253 nt
Filed under: uncultured bacterium
Lineage: Bacteria
Description: partial 16S ribosomal RNA
Rfam family: Bacterial small subunit ribosomal RNA
Source: RNAcentral
UACAGAGGUCUCGAGCGUUAGGCGGAAUCACUGGGCUUAAAGCGUGUGUAGGCGGAUCGGUAAGUACCUUGUGAAAUCCCACAGCUCAACUGUGGAACUGCUUGGUAUACUGCCAGUCUUGAGCCAGCUAGGGGCUACCGGAACAAAUGGUGGAGCGGUGAAAUGCGUAGAUAUCAUUUGGAACGCCAAUGGUGAAAACAGGUAGCUGGGGCUGUGCUGACGCUGAGACACGAAAGCCAGGGGAGCAAACGGG